GAGGGCAUAGCUCAAGUGAUAGAGCACAUGCAUAGCAUGCAUGAGGUCCAGGGUUCAAUCCCCAGUGCCUCCU
This 73-nucleotide transfer RNA is filed under the name Camelus bactrianus (Bactrian camel). It matches the Rfam family "tRNA". Rfam says of the family: Transfer RNA (tRNA) molecules are approximately 80 nucleotides in length. Their secondary structure includes four short double-helical elements and three loops (D, anti-codon, and T loops). Further hydrogen bonds mediate the characteristic L-shaped molecular structure. tRNAs have two regions of fundamental functional importance: the anti-codon, which is responsible for specific mRNA codon recognition, and the 3' end, to which the tRNAs corresponding amino acid is attached (by aminoacyl-tRNA synthetases). tRNAs cope with the degeneracy of the genetic code in two manners: having more than one tRNA (with a specific anti-codon) for a particular amino acid; and 'wobble' base-pairing, i.e. permitting non-standard base-pairing at the 3rd anti-codon position. Lineage: Eukaryota; Metazoa; Chordata; Mammalia; Artiodactyla; Camelidae. RNAcentral also lists the same sequence under 2 other names. The record is from Rfam by way of RNAcentral.